UACGUAGGGUGCGAGCGUUAAUCGGAAUUACUGGGCGUAAAGCGUGCGCAGGCGGUUCGUUAAGUCAGAUGUGAAAGCCCCGGGCUCAACCUGGGAACUGCAUUUGAAACUGGCGGGCUUGAGUAUGGCAGAGGGGGGUGGAAUUCCGCGUGUAGCAGUGAAAUGCGUAGAGAUGCGGAGGAACACCGAUGGCGAAGGCAGCCCCCUGGGCUAAGACUGACGCUGAGGCACGAAAGCGUGGGGAGCAAACAGG
This 253-nucleotide ribosomal RNA is filed under the name uncultured bacterium. Its description in RNAcentral is "partial 16S ribosomal RNA". It matches the Rfam family "Bacterial small subunit ribosomal RNA", at positions 524 to 776 of the family's 1533-position model. The record is from RNAcentral.